RNAcentral lists this small RNA (80 nucleotides) under Salmonella enterica subsp. enterica serovar Derby. RNAcentral's name for it is "partial RtT sRNA". It matches the Rfam family "RtT RNA", at positions 1 to 79 of the family's 130-position model. From Rfam's summary of the family: This family represents a bacterial cis-regulatory element known as RtT RNA. The exact function of RtT is unknown although it is thought that it may be involved in changing the cellular response in relation to amino acid starvation. RNAcentral also lists the same sequence under 6 other names. Lineage: Bacteria; Pseudomonadati; Pseudomonadota; Gammaproteobacteria; Enterobacterales; Enterobacteriaceae. The record is from RNAcentral.
UAUCUCUCCGUACGGGGAAGGAUGAGAAGCUUCGACUAAGGUUCGAUUCGAGCGCAGCGAGAAAGCGUUGCCGCAGGCAA